This 460-nucleotide ribosomal RNA is filed under the name uncultured bacterium. Its description in RNAcentral is "partial 16S ribosomal RNA". It matches the Rfam family "Bacterial small subunit ribosomal RNA", at positions 338 to 795 of the family's 1533-position model. The record is from RNAcentral.
CCUACGGGUGGCAGCAGUGAGGAAUAUUGGUCAAUGGCCGUAAGGCUGAACCAGCCAAGUCGCGUGAAGGAAGAAGGAUCUAUGGUUUGUAAACUUCUUUUAUAGGGGAAUAAAGGUAUCCAAGUGUGGAUAUUUGCAUGUACCCUAUGAAUAACCAUAGCCUAAAUCCGUGCCAGCAGCCGCGGUAAUACGGAGGAUGCGAGCGUUAUCCGGAUUUAUUGGGUUUAAAGGGGGCGUAGAUUGUUGUCUAAGUCAGAGGUGAAAGUUUGUGGUUCAACCAUAGAAUUGCCGUUGAAACUGGAUGGCUUGAGUGUGGUAGAGGUAGGCGGAAUGCGUGGUGUAGCGGUGAAAUGCAUAGAUAUUAGGAAGAACUCCAGUUGCGAAGGCAGCUUACUAGGCAAUAACUGACACUGAGGCACGAAAGCGUGGGGAUCAAACAGGAUUAGAUACCCUUGUAGUC